RNAcentral lists this ribosomal RNA (468 nucleotides) under uncultured bacterium. Its description in RNAcentral is "partial 16S ribosomal RNA". It matches the Rfam family "Bacterial small subunit ribosomal RNA", at positions 28 to 507 of the family's 1533-position model. The record is from RNAcentral.
GAUGAACGCUGGCGGCGUGCUUAACACAUGCAAGUCGAACGGAAAGGCCCAACCUUGCUUGGGUCCUCGAGUGGCGAACGGGUGAGUAACACGUGGGUGAUCUGCCCUGCACUUCGGGAUAACCCUGGGAAACUGGGUCUAAUACCGGAUAGGACGUUCGUUUGCAUGCCAUUGUGGAAAGUUUUUUCGGUGUGGGAUGUGCUCGCGGCGUUUCUGCUGUUUUGUGGGGUGUUGGCGUACCAAAGCGUCGACGCGUAGACGGGGUGUGAGAGUGUACGGGGACAUUGGGAGAGAGAUACGGGGCAGAGACUUAUAGGAGGGAGCAGAGGGGAAUAUAGCACAAAAGGGGCGGGCGUGAGACAGAGAAGCGGCGUGGGGGAGAAGGGCGUUCGGGUGGUAAACACCGUUUGCGAGGGAGGAGGAGUGUUAGUGACGGUAACUGGAGAAGAAGCACCGGCUAACUACGUG